Long non-coding RNA from Oncorhynchus tshawytscha (Chinook salmon), 1404 nucleotides. The record is from Ensembl. NCBI's taxonomy places the organism in Eukaryota, Metazoa, Chordata, Actinopteri, Salmoniformes, Salmonidae.
UUAGUACCAAAACAUAAUUAGUACCAAAACAUAAUUAGUACAAAAACAUAAUUAGUACCAAAACAUAAAGAGAAAUGUUUCAAAAAAAGAAAAACCUUAGAACAUACCCCUUAUUUCCACAUCCAUGUUUAAAUGUUAUGACACGUCAAUAAAUGGUAUGUUCAUUUGGAAAAGCGUUGAACAAUACAACAGGAACAUUGUGUGUGACUGUGUAGCCUGGAUUGUAACAGGAAACUGCAUUUGACAUUUGUUUGGUGUUGUAAUGGUAACUUUAGUUGGUAUAAAAGAUGAAUGGCAUGACAACGGGGUAGUGCAUCUGACUUGUGUACUGGUAUACACUGUAAUCACAGUUCCAACCUCUUUACAUCCACAUGGAUAGAGACUAGACUAUUUCUCCCAAAUAAUCAUUUCGGUGUUACUGACGUCAACUUGAGGCUGCGUGAAGUGUGAGCAAAACUGGUGAGAGAUUGUUGGUAAUAAAAUAAUCUCAUGUGGGGAUAAAGCAAAGAGAUCAUGUAUUUUGGGGGGAAAACAGUAAAAAUCUCUCAUUUGUUACAUGAUAUGCAGAUACAUGGGGAUUUUUACCAAGACCUCGAAGGCCUAUUAAAUGAAUAGUGUCAGAUUGAUAUUCUCUUAUGGCAGUAUUUACAUAGUCCAGUAUUAUUAUUAUUAUUUGAAUGAAUCCCAAAUGGCACCCUAUUCCAUAUAUAGUGCACUACUUUUGACCAGAGCCCUAUGGGGUUAGGAUGUCAUUUGGGAGGUACCCUUUGUAUCCACAUCCUGUAAGCCAGGACUGCCAUGCCAGCUGAGACCAGAACAGAUAGGCUCAGCUAACGUGAGAUCUCUGAGACCAGAACAGAUAGGCUCAGCUAACGUGAGAUCUCUGAGACCAGAACAGAGGCUCAGCUAACGUGAGAUCUCUGAGACCAGAACAGAGGCUCAGCUAACGUGAGAUCUCUGAGACCAGAACAGAGAGGCUCAGCUAACGUGAGAUCUCUGAGACCAGAACAGAUAGGCUCAGCUAACGUGAGAUCUCUGAGACCAGAACAGAAGGCUCAGCUAACGUGAGAUCUCUGAGACCAGAACAGAUAGGCUCAGCUAACGUGAGAUCUCUGAGACCAGAACAGAUAGGCUCAGCUAACGUGAGAUCUCUGAGACCAGAACAGAUAGGCUCAGCUAACGUGAGAUCUCUGAGACCAGAACAGAUAGGCUCAGCUAAGAGAUGAGAUCUGAGACCAGAACAGAUAGGCUCAGCUAACGUGAGAUCUCUGAGACCAGAACAGAUAGGCUCAGCUAACGUGAGAUCUCUGAGACCAGAACAGAUAGGCUCAGCUAACGUGAGAUCUCUGAGACCAGAACAGAUAGGCUCAGCUAACGUGAGAUCUCUGAGACCAGAACAGAUAG